GGAGAAACAGCAUGUCCAAUAAUUAUUCAAAUUUUGUCCGCAAAGAAACAGGAAAGAUGCUCCUCUUGUUACAUCACAAGAAGCUGCUAUACUAAAAAGACUGGUACGUGUUUUAGUUUUAGAUGCAUUUUAGCAGUGCUUUCAACAGAACAAAAUGAAAAGCUAACUUUGUAAAGAAAUUGAAUUACCUUCCAAGGUGCACAGUCAAUUUACACAAGCAUUUAUCAAAUUUAUGUUAUUUAUCCAGAACUUAUAGCUUUACUUUCACGAAAUUCCAUUACGGUAUUAUGACUUUAUGUCAAGAAGCUAAAAAUACAAAGUGGCUCACCCUAUUAUGAAUGACAACAUGCAACUUCUAUAUUCAUGCCAGUAGAACAUCCGAACUAAUAACAAAGCACGCAUGCCUUUGUUUUUAGCAAGCAGUAAUAGUUCCACGUAGCAGCUUGUUCACAUCAAAUGAUGAACAGAUUAACACAGACGGGUGUAGUAUACCUUAAUUCUUAUGCUGCAGCCUCCCACUUUCUGCACCGGCAUAGGGAUCAAUGGUAACAUUUAUUACAGUUGGCUUUCUUGCAGAAAAAGAUUCAGCAAGGGCAGACUUAAGUUCAUCAGGUGUCCCAACUAGAUAACCUUUGCCCCCAAAAGCUUCAAUAACAAUGUGAUAAGCAGCGCCAGGGACAAAAGAAGUGGGUGCUGGAUCAUCUUUGAAAGGCCCUGUUAUUUCUUCAGGGCUCCUUCGAUCACCGCCAUAUACACCACCAUUAUUAAAAACUAUCACAACCACAGGUAGCUGAUAUCGAACCAAUGUCUCAACUUCCAUGGCACUGAACCCAAAUCCAGAGUCACCUUCAACUGCAACUACAAGUCGAUUAGGCUCAGCAACUGCCGCUGCAAUGCAAUAACCCAACCCAAUCCCCAUUGUCCCCCAAGUGCCAGCAUCCAACCUAGUCCUAGGCUCUGUCUGUACCAACACAGCUCUCCCAACAUCCAUCGUAUUAGCCCCCUCUGACACCACUAUUGGAGCAGGGCUCCCCACUCCCAAAAUGGCAUCUCUAAUAAUCCUCAUAGGCGUCAAGAAAUUAAAUGGCACAACAUCUUUCGCCAACUGAGCCUCCAUUCUAGACACAUUCUCCUUUGCUUUCUUGGAAAUCGCUUCCACCCACGGAUGAUUCAUCGCCAAACAAAAGGGGUCGUCCUUGAUCUCCUUAUUGAUCAAUUCCAACACCUUUUUUGCGUCUCCGACCAAACCCAAAUGUGGUUUCCUUAUCUCAAUCUCACCCUUACAAAUAUCCACCAGUAUAAAUUUCACAUCCUUAGACCACUUGGGAGGCUCUCCAAAGUGCAACAGCCAAUUAAGCCUAGCGUCAACUACAAGCGCGACAUCACAUUUACCAAAUAGCAAGCGACCUAGCUGCACUUGCUGCAAGCUCAUGGGUAUCUGGCUGCAAGCCUUUUCCCAUUGGCGUAGGCAAGAAUGGGAUUCCAGUGGUUUCCACUAGCUUCCCCAGUUCAUUCUCUGCUCUCGCAUAGGCAACCCCUUUACCAAACACAAUUAGAGGCUUCUCUGCUUUUCUAAGCAACUCCGCGGCUCCUUCAAUUUCUGAGUUUAGAACCUGAUUCCCAUUUGCAAUCGGUUUCGAUUCUGAAGAAUUGAAGGCAGCAGUUACCAAACUCUCUGCCUCAGAUUCCGUUACAGUUUGAUGCAAAACAUCGGAUGGAAGAUCCAAAUAGCAUCCACCGGGGCGGCCAGAAACUGCCCGAUCAAUAACCUGGACAACACGAUUAGGUAUAUCGUUAAUAUCUUUAGCUGUUACUGACAACUUGGAGAAUGGUUUCACUGCCUCUAUCUGAUCAAUCUCUUGAAAGUCUCCCCGACCAGUAUCGUUUUGGUCACAGGAGCCGGAGAUCAUAACCAUCGGCCAGGUAUUGGCCUUAGCGUUAGACAAUCCAGCAAGCCCAUGGACACAACCGGGACCGGAAACAGUAAGAAGCAACCCAGGUCGACCAGUAAGUUAACCGUUGGAAGAGGCGGGAUAGCCAGCGGACUGCUCAUUGUGGAAGGCCAAAAAACGGAUUCCAAGGGAGACAGCAUGGUUGGCGAGGGACUUGACGGGGAUGCCAACGACGCCAAUCACGUGAGUGACGCCGCAGCAAGCGAAAGAUUGGCGGUUGCCAUCGAUGAGGGUUUCGGGGGCAAUCUGCCAUGGAAGGAAAUGAGUAGAGCAGAAAAAGGAUUUUGAUUUAAAUUUUGAUAUGGCGUGUGUUAGCGACGGUAUGCAGUAGAGAGCAGAGCAGAGACCUUGUUUUUAAAGUCCACGUGGAUGAUCACCUACAUUAAUGUAGAGAGAGAUUAUGUAUGAUUUUAAUGUGAGAUUUAAAUGUUUUUAAAAAUAUUAAAAAAUUGCUAGAUUUGUACGGAAGAAGGC
Molecule: unclassified non-coding RNA, 2426 nt
Filed under: Hevea brasiliensis (rubber tree)
Lineage: Eukaryota; Viridiplantae; Streptophyta; Magnoliopsida; Malpighiales; Euphorbiaceae
Source: RNAcentral